Molecule: ribosomal RNA, 587 nt
Filed under: uncultured Paenibacillaceae bacterium
Lineage: Bacteria; Bacillati; Bacillota; Bacilli; Caryophanales; Paenibacillaceae
Description: bacterial SSU rRNA
Rfam family: Bacterial small subunit ribosomal RNA
Source: RNAcentral
ACGGGUGAGUAACACGUAGGCAACCUGCCUAUAGGGACGGGAUAACUACCGGAAACGGUAGCUAAGACCGUAUAGUUGCCCAUGGCGCAUGCCGGGGGCAAGAAACGCGGAGCAAUCUGUGGCCUAUAGAUGGGCCUGCGGCGCAUUAGCUAGUUGGUGGGGUAAUGGCCUACCAAGGCGACGAUGCGUAGCCGACCUGAGAGGGUGACCGGCCACACUGGGACUGGGACACGGCCCAGACUCCUACGGGAGGCAGCAGUAGGGAAUCUUCCGCAAUGGACGCAAGUCUGACGGAGCAACGCCGCGUGAGUGAUGAAGGUUUUCGGAUCGUAAAGCUCUGUUGCCAGGGACGAAAAGCGUUUGGAGUAACUGCCAAGCGUGUGACGGUACCUGAGAAGAAAGCCCCGGCUAACUACGUGCCAGCAGCCGCGGUAAUACGUAGGGGGCAAGCGUUGUCCGGAAUUAUUGGGCGUAAAGCGCGCGCAGGCGGCUAUUUAAGUUUGGUGUAUAAUCCCGGGGCUCAACCCCGGGCCGCACCGAAAACUGGGUGGCUUGAGUGCGGGAGAGGAAAGUGGAAUUCCACGUGU